Molecule: ribosomal RNA, 713 nt
Filed under: uncultured bacterium
Lineage: Bacteria
Description: bacterial SSU rRNA
Rfam family: Bacterial small subunit ribosomal RNA
Source: RNAcentral
AGGGGCAUCGGGGCGAGGAGCAAUCCUUGCCGCCGGCGACCGGCGCACGGGUGAGUAACGCGUAUGCGACCUGCCCGUUGCAGGGGGAUAAUCGGGAGAAAUCCCGUCUAAUACCGCGUAACGCCGCGGGGCUGCAUGGCCCUGCGGCCAAAGGAAGCGAUUCCGGCAACGGAUGGGCAUGCGUGACAUUAGCUAGUUGGCGGGGCAACGGCCCACCAAGGCGACGAUGUCUAGGGGUUCUGAGAGGAAGGUCCCCCACACUGGUACCGAGACACGGACCAGACUCCUACGGGAGGCAGCAGUGAGGAAUAUUGGUCAAUGGGCGCGAGCCUGAACCAGCCAAGUCGCGUGAGGGAUGACGGCCCUACGGGUUGUAAACCUCUUUUGUCGGGGAGCAGAUUCCGCCACGCGUGGCGGAGUCGAGAGUACCCGAAGAAAAAGCAUCGGCUAACUCCGUGCCAGCAGCCGCGGUAAUACGGAGGAUGCGAGCGUUAUCCGGAUUUAUUGGGUUUAAAGGGUGCGUAGGCGGACUGUCAAGUCAGCGGUAAAAUACGGGGGCUCAACCUCCGCCCGCCGUUGAAACUGACGGUCUUGAGUGGGCGAGAAGUAUGCGGAAUGCGUGGUGUAGCGGUGAAAUGCAUAGAUAUCACGCAGAACUCCGAUUUGCGAAGGCAGCAUACCGGCGCCCAACUGACGCUGAAGCACGAAAGCGU